Molecule: long non-coding RNA, 674 nt
Organism: Cloeon dipterum
Lineage: Eukaryota; Metazoa; Arthropoda; Insecta; Ephemeroptera; Baetidae
Exons: 4
Source: RefSeq, a predicted model, not a curated record
CUUGAUUAGGCCGUGCACGGUGCAGAGUCUGCCGACGCGAUGUCGGACAUCCUGGAUAAGUGGGAUAUAUUUCAGGAGCUCAGCGACGAACUGAAGCAGAAUAUCAGGCUUGCGGUCGUAUUGGAUGGUAGCGCAAUUUACGUGACGAAAGAUGACGAAGUUUAUGGCUUUGGGAAAAACAAAGAAGGAUUCCUUGGUACUGGCGACAUGAAACCACGCUUAAUGCUCACAAAAAUUGAACAAUUAUGCGGAAAAAAUAUUCAAGAUUUGCAAUUCACAUACUUCACAUUUUUUGCGAUUUCUGCUACCGGCUCAGUUUAUGCCUGGGGAAAAAAUGAUUGUGGUCAGCUUGGACUGGGUACGAAACCACAAAUAUUGAUCCCAACCAAAAUAGAAGGAAUUUUGGCAACAAAAAGAGUUGUGCAAGUGGCCUGCAGCUCUAACCAUACUCUGGCUUUAACCUCGGAUAAAGAGGUCUUUUCCUUUGGUUGGAAUAAGUACGGACAGUUGGGACUGGGACACAAAGAUUGCCAAACUCUUCCAAUAAAAUUGAGCUUUCCUACGGCUAAGAGAGUUGUGACAGCCAUCGCUUGUCUACUUGCCUCAUCUCUAGCACUCCUAGACUCAGGAGAGGUGAAAAUUAUAUUUAUUUCGGGUAUUAUUUCUUAUUUUUC